This 325-nucleotide long non-coding RNA is filed under the name Malus domestica (apple). Its description in RNAcentral is "long non-coding RNA (MDOM_LNC018411)". The record is from RNAcentral. Lineage: Eukaryota; Viridiplantae; Streptophyta; Magnoliopsida; Rosales; Rosaceae.
AAUCUUGGCCCAAAAAUGCUCCAAAAUGCUCCAAAUAGCACUUUGUUGCUAACUUUUUUUUUUUGAACCUACAAACACACGAAAAUAGCUUAAAGUACUAAAAUAACUAGAAUUAAACUAAGUAAAUGCCAAGAAACAAGCUAACUAAGUUGCAUAAAUAUGCUCCUAUCAAAUUCCCCCACACAUAGCUUUUGCUAGUCCUCGAGCAAAACAAAUGAAACAAAACAAAACAAAACAAACAAAACACAACCUAACCUUUGAUAGACGCAUAUUUAUGCGACUUAGUUAACUAGUUUUCUUGCAUUUACGUUAUUAGUUCUUAGUU